GCGCCCGUAGCUCAGUAGGAUAGAGCAACGGAUUUCUAAUCCGUCGGUCGGGGGUUCGAAUCCCUCCGGGCGUA
Molecule: transfer RNA, 74 nt
Filed under: Planctomycetaceae bacterium
Lineage: Bacteria; Pseudomonadati; Planctomycetota; Planctomycetia; Planctomycetales; Planctomycetaceae
Also listed under: 1 other name
Description: tRNA-Arg
Rfam family: tRNA
About the family: Transfer RNA (tRNA) molecules are approximately 80 nucleotides in length. Their secondary structure includes four short double-helical elements and three loops (D, anti-codon, and T loops).
Source: RNAcentral